CAGCAGCCGCGGUAAUACGUAGGUGGCAAGCGUUGUCCGGAUUUAUUGGGCGUAAAGCGAGCGCAGGCGGUUUCUUAAGUCUGAUGUGAAAGCCCCCGGCUCAACCGGGGAGGGUCAUUGGAAACUGGGAGACUUGAGUGCAGAAGAGGAGAGUGGAAUUCCAUGUGUAGCGGUGAAAUGCGUAGAUAUAUGGAGGAACACCAGUGGCGAAGGCGGCUCUCUGGUCUGUAACUGACGCUGAGGCUCGAAAGCGUGGGGAGCGAACAGGAUUAGAUACCCCCGUAGUCCCUGUCUCUUAUAC
Molecule: ribosomal RNA, 301 nt
Filed under: uncultured bacterium
Lineage: Bacteria
Description: partial 16S ribosomal RNA
Rfam family: Bacterial small subunit ribosomal RNA
Source: RNAcentral